GAAAUGCGAUAAUUAAUGUGAAUUGCGGAAUUCAGUGAAUCAUCGAGUCUUUGAACGCACAUUGCGCCCCCUGGUAUUCCGGGGGGCAUGCCUGUCCGAGCGUCAUUGCUGCCCUCAAGCACGGCUUGUGUGUUGGGCUUCCGUCCCUGGCAACGGGGACGUGCCCAAAAGGCAGUGGCGGCACCAUGUCUGGUCCUCGAGCGUAUGGGGCUUUGUCACCCGCUCCCGUAGGUCCAGCUGGCAGCUAGCCUCGCAACCAAUCUUUUUAACCAGGUUGACCUCGGAUCAGGUAGGGAUACCCGCUGAACUUAAGC
RNAcentral lists this unclassified non-coding RNA (314 nucleotides) under plant metagenome. RNAcentral describes it as "partial contains 5.8S ribosomal RNA, internal transcribed spacer 2, and large subunit ribosomal RNA". The stretch from base 1 to 105 matches the Rfam family "5.8S ribosomal RNA", at positions 50 to 154 of the family's 154-position model. The record is from RNAcentral.